Molecule: small nucleolar RNA, 121 nt
Filed under: Neotoma lepida (desert woodrat)
Lineage: Eukaryota; Metazoa; Chordata; Mammalia; Rodentia; Cricetidae
Description: Small nucleolar RNA SNORA40
Rfam family: Small nucleolar RNA SNORA40
About the family: The snoRNA ACA 40 belongs to the H/ACA family of snoRNAs and guides the pseudouridylation of 28S rRNA subunit at position U4565. NB This family has a high threshold value to exclude a large number of closely related sequences that do not appear to have conserved H and ACA boxes, and may be pseudogenes.
Source: Rfam by way of RNAcentral
UGUGUGAGUUUUUGUUUAACUUGUAACCAAAGACUUAAAGCUGAAUACAAAAAUAAACCCUCCUUUGCAAUACAGAACUCAUCGUUCAGCAUGAGUUUUGAUAUGCAUGAUAAAGAGCGNG